RNAcentral lists this ribosomal RNA (524 nucleotides) under uncultured bacterium. Its description in RNAcentral is "bacterial SSU rRNA". It matches the Rfam family "Bacterial small subunit ribosomal RNA", at positions 28 to 531 of the family's 1533-position model. The record is from RNAcentral.
GGCUAACGCUGGCGGCGUGUCUUAGCCAUGCAAGUCGAGCGGACUUAUGGGGUAACUUAUAAGUCAGCGGCGGACGGCGGAGUAACACGUAGCUAACCUACCCUCUGGACGGGGAUAACCUACCGAAAGGUGGGCUAAUACCCGAUGUAGUCAUCCUGUAUAGGGGUGAUGAAAGGUGGGCUUCUGUUUACAAGCUCAUGCUGGAGGAGGGGGCUGCGGCCUAUCAGGUAGUUGGUAGGGUAAUAGCCUACCAAGCCGAUGACGGGUAGCCGGCCUGAGAGGGUGACCGGCCCGAGGGGCACUGAGAUACGGGUCCCACUCCUACGGGAGGCAGCAGGCUAGAAAUUUGGGCAAUGGGGGAAACCCUGACCCAGUGACGCCGCGUGCAGGAAGGAGCCCUUCGGGGUGUAAACUGCUGUCGUGUAGGGAGAAGGGUACUAAGGUGAACAAUCUUAGUACUUGACGGUACUACAGGAGGAAGCCCAGGCUAACCUCGUGCCAGCAGCCGCGGUAAAAUAGCUACU